Molecule: long non-coding RNA, 1469 nt
Filed under: Panax ginseng (ginseng)
Lineage: Eukaryota; Viridiplantae; Streptophyta; Magnoliopsida; Apiales; Araliaceae
Description: long non-coding RNA (PGIN_LNC001538)
Source: RNAcentral
CUACCUCAAGUUUAACUCAAGAAAUUCCCAAAUCUUGGCAGGAUCUUACACAUGUUAACGUGAGCUUCCAGUUUAAAUUCCAUGGUCAUCGGAGUUAUAAAACUCCGGUUAUAGCGUUUUUCGUCGAAAAAACCUAAAUAUUAAAAUGGUCAUAACUUGCUCAUUUUAAGUCGGAAUGAGCUCAUUUUUGGACAGGAGGUACCUUAUACCAUAUACUUUCAUUUUCCAAAAGGCCAGAAUUUUCCUCACAAAUUAAGUGGCCGAAACAGCCCCAUAAAGUUUCUGGGCAGGAGCAUUUUCCUCUUUUGCAGCUUUGGACUCUUUUGCUAAAAAUAGUCCGCACGAAAAUCUACAACACCUUUUCCAGUGAUUCCACUUGGAGAUACUACAAAACUCAUAGAUCUAACUCUAGAACUUGACCACACUCAAUUCAAAAUAUAAAAGGAGAUAUGGUCAAUUGAAUUUCAUGUUCCAUUUUCACCAAAAUUUAAUUUUCAACCCUUUGUGAUUUCUAAGAAACUUUCAUGUUUUCACAUAAUAACCAACAUAACUCAUCGUAACACUUACUAAUACUUCAUAUACCCAUGAUUUUCAUCAGUCCAAUGCUUUUAUUAUGACUCUCAUCAUAAUCAACGUAACCAGAUCAUUUCCACAAUUUAAUAAGGAAUGGAGAUAAAUGAUCAUUCACCAUGCAUAUGGCAAUCCACAUAGACAGGUUAUUCCAACAGAAUAAUAAAGAAUGGAAUAACAGAAGGAUUCACCAUGCAUGUGAUAGAGACCACACAGACAGGUUAUCCCCAAUAGAAUAAUAAAUAAUGGAACCAGGUCCGACGUAAACGCACAGACAGGAUAUUCUGACAGAAUAAUAAAUGCGGAGUAAUAAAUAAUGGAACCAGGUCCGGCGUAAAACGUACAUACAGGAUAUUUCGACAGAAUAGUAAAGAAUGAAAUAAUAGAAGAAUUUCACCAUGUAUGUGGUACUUCGCAUAGACAGGUUAUUCCAACAUAAUAAUAAGGAAUGGAAUAACAGAAGAAGAUCACCAUGUAUAGGGUAGUCCGUGUAUACAUGUUAUUCCAACAGAAUAAUAAAGAAUGGAAUAAUAGAAGAAUUUCACCUAAAACUCGAUGAAUAUUUUAUUUAGUACCACUAAAACUCGAUGAAUCUCUUCAACUCAUCAUAUCCUAUAACUUCUCGCCAGAGUACUUCGUCUCCUGGUUCACUGAAUAUCUAUCUUAACUUUCGUCCUCCAUUCUACUAAGGUUAUAAUUCUUCACCAGAGUUCUUCAUCCAUUGAAUAUCUAUCUUAACUUUCGUUAUCCAUUCUACUAAGGUUAUAAUUCUUCACCAUAGUUCUUCGUCUAUCGAAUAUCUAUCUUAACUUUCGUUAUCCAUUCUACUAAGGUUAUAACCUAGGUUUCGCAUUCCUAACGUUUAUAACCUACAGCUUUGAUACCAACCUGUGGCNNNN